GACGAACGCUGGCGGCGUGCUUAACACAUGCAAGUCGAACGGAAAGGCCCCUUUGGGGGUACUCGAGUGGCGCACGGGUGAGUAACACGUGAGUAACCUUCCCUUUACUUCGGGAUAACUUCAGGAAACUGGGGCUAAUACCGGAUAGGAAUCCUUGCUGCAUGGUGGGGGUUGGAAAGCUUCGGCGGUUUUGGAUGGACUCGCGGCUUAUCAGCUUGUUGGUGGGGUAGUGGCUUACCAAGGCUUUGACGGGUAGCCGGCCUGAGAGGGCGACCGGCCACAUUGGGACUGAGAUACGGCCCAGACUCCUAAGGGAGGCAGCAGUGGGGAAUAUUGCACAAUGGGCGGAAGCCUGAUGCAGCAACGCCGCGGGCGGGAUGACGGCCUUCGGGUUGUAAACCGCUUUCAGCAGGGGCGAAGCUUGUGGUGACGGUACCUGCAGAAGAAGCACCGGCUAACUACGUG
This 465-nucleotide ribosomal RNA is filed under the name uncultured bacterium. RNAcentral's name for it is "partial 16S ribosomal RNA". It matches the Rfam family "Bacterial small subunit ribosomal RNA", at positions 28 to 507 of the family's 1533-position model. The record is from RNAcentral.